Molecule: unclassified non-coding RNA, 328 nt
Filed under: Hevea brasiliensis (rubber tree)
Lineage: Eukaryota; Viridiplantae; Streptophyta; Magnoliopsida; Malpighiales; Euphorbiaceae
Source: RNAcentral
AUGAGAUUGCAGCAAAAAUGGAGGGAAGUAAUCUUAGAUUUCAGUCCUUUACAAAGAAUAUUCAAAAGGUUAAUGAUGAUGAUCCUCAUGCUGACGAUUUUCUUGUAAUUCCAAAUAGUUUCUUCGGUUCUUAUGGGCAGAUCAGUUUGGAUGUCGGCAUAUGGCGUUAUGGUGCAUAUCCUGCAUGCAUUCAGAAAAGAACCAGUGCAAAUUCUCAAAGAACUACCAGUACAAACAUGCAAAGUAGCACCGAUGCAAAUCUGCAAAGCAGUACCGAAACAUAGUUGAUAAUUUUGUUUCCAAGUAGCAUGUGCUCUUCACAUUGGCC